UGUGUCUGUCCCAAAAUGGCACCCUAUUGCGUAUAUAGUGCACUGCCUCCCAAAUGGCACCCUAUUCCCUAUAUUGUGCACUACUUUUGACCAGGGCCGAUAGGUCCACAUUUUGACCAGACUUGCCCAGAUAAUGAGUCAUGGAGGCAAUUAUGUGCAUCCCAAAUAGCACCCUAUUCCCUAUAUAGUGCACUACAGGACCUCGAUCUACAUCUCCUGUUCUUCUGUCUGCUGGACGUCUCAGGGUGGAGGUGGUGGCACCACGCUGCUGUCCUCAGGGUGGAGGUGGUGACACCACGCUGCUGUCCUCAGGGUGGAAGUGGUGACACCACGCUGCUGUCCUCAGGGUGGAGGUGGUGACACCACGCUGCUGUCCUCAGGGUGUGAGGGUCAGGGUGGAGGUGGUGACACCAUGCUGCUGUCCCCAGGGUGUGAGGGUCAGGGUGGAGGUGGUGACACCAUGCUCCUGUCCCCAGGGUGUGAGGGUCAGGGUGGAGGUGGUGACACCAUGCUGCUGUCCCCAGGGUGUGAGGGUCAGGGUCAGGG
Oncorhynchus tshawytscha (Chinook salmon) is the source of this 546-nucleotide long non-coding RNA. Lineage: Eukaryota; Metazoa; Chordata; Actinopteri; Salmoniformes; Salmonidae. The record is from Ensembl.